CCACAUGUGUCAUUGUGUGAGGUUGUUGGAGAAAACAUGUCGCAGCUGGGUACAUUCAUGAUGACCAGUUCAACAUGGGGCAAGGCUCGGCGUCUGCUGCUGGAGGCAUCCUCUGCUUUCAUAGCAUAAUCUUCAUGCAAUCACCAGUGAAGAGGGACUCGCAGCAUCAUAUGUAAGAUGCCUAUAGCUGACCAGAAAGCUGUUCCUUGGAAAGUAAGCUCAUUGAGGGCUGGCACCAUUGUCUUUCUAUUUGCAGCCCUGGUCUACCACAGAAGGCAUGUGAAUUACCACAAAUACGUCCCCUGGGUUCAUCCCAAUUGAGCUACCUGACGCUCGGCACUGACAGUUUCGUCUCUUAGAAAGAAAAGGAUGUAAGAAUGGGGCUGCUACUCUGGACUUAAUUCUGACCAACAAGGAAGAACAAAUUGGUAAAGUAGAAGUGACAGGAAACUUGGGAGAAAGGGACUGUGUCAUGUUGGAGGUUAUUAUUUUGAAUGAAAGA
Long non-coding RNA from Neofelis nebulosa (Clouded leopard), 502 nucleotides. RefSeq lists it as uncharacterized. The transcript is spliced from 3 exons. NCBI's taxonomy places the organism in Eukaryota, Metazoa, Chordata, Mammalia, Carnivora, Felidae. The record is from RefSeq and is a predicted model, not a curated record.